Molecule: small nuclear RNA, 107 nt
Organism: Delphinapterus leucas (beluga whale)
Lineage: Eukaryota; Metazoa; Chordata; Mammalia; Artiodactyla; Monodontidae
Source: Ensembl
GUGCUCGCUUUGGCAGCACAUAUACUAAAAUUGGAAUGAUACAGAGAAGAUUAGCAUGGGCCCUGCACAAGGAUGACACGCAAAUUCAUGAAGCGUUGCAUAUUUUU